This 464-nucleotide ribosomal RNA is filed under the name Vreelandella stevensii. Its description in RNAcentral is "partial 16S ribosomal RNA". It matches the Rfam family "Bacterial small subunit ribosomal RNA", at positions 338 to 795 of the family's 1533-position model. The record is from RNAcentral. Lineage: Bacteria; Pseudomonadati; Pseudomonadota; Gammaproteobacteria; Oceanospirillales; Halomonadaceae.
CCUACGGGUGGCUGCAGUGGGGAAUAUUGGACAAUGGGCGAAAGCCUGAUCCAGCCAUGCCGCGUGUGUGAAGAAGGCCUUCGGGUUGUAAAGCACUUUCAGUGGGGAAGAAAGCCUUGGGGCUAAUACCCUCGAGGAAGGACAUCACCCACAGAAGAAGCACCGGCUAACUCCGUGCCAGCAGCCGCGGUAAUACGGAGGGUGCGAGCGUUAAUCGGAAUUACUGGGCGUAAAGCGCGCGUAGGCGGUCUGAUAAGCCGGUUGUGAAAGCCCCGGGCUCAACCUGGGAACGGCAUCCGGAACUGUCAGGCUAGAGUGCAGGAGAGGAAGGUAGAAUUCCCGGUGUAGCGGUGAAAUGCGUAGAGAUCGGGAGGAAUACCAGUGGCGAAGGCGGCCUUCUGGACUGACACUGACGCUGAGGUGCGAAAGCGUGGGUAGCAAACAGGAUUACAUACCCAGUAGUC